GACAUGCACUACAGUUUGUUUCUCAAAAUAUUGCAUGCAUAGUAUUUUAUAGAUGAUUCAUUACUAUCAAGACUCAUAACUUGCUUAUCUAAUAAAUACCUAAAAAUCCAAAGUAAAUUAAUCACAUAAAUAAUGCAACAGAAACUUCCGCCAUAUUUUGGUAUCACUGUCAUUCCAGUGGGUUUAGGUUGUAUCUUUCGCACCAAAGAAUGAUUCACCUUGUUUCACAAUGUCAACCACCGCACAACGGCCGCUUUAAGAUCUGUGCCAUUGGAUCGCACAACGGCUGCUUUAAGAGCUGUGCAGGUGGAGGAGAGGCUAGCAUUUAGAGCGCUUUGAGAGCUGUGCAAUGCACAAUCCCAUGGUUGAUCUUGGGAAAACAAGAUCAAUCAUUCUUACGCAGGAAAGAUACAACCCGAUCCCCAUUUCAGUUGAGUGAAUUGUUUUGCAUGUCCCUGCACAGAUCUUAGUAUACCUCAACCCAUGUGCAUGACAGCAUCAUACUCAAAAGUUUGAGGAAGCCCCAAACCUUCAUGUCUGACCCCAGUUAAGCCACUGACCUAACAAUAGCUGCCGGUUCAAGAAAUAAAAGGCCGGAAAAUAAGAAGCGUUGACACGCAGGAAACCUAACUUUCAAAACCAUAGGCCCAAACGACUGGUAGUUCCAGGAAGGGCCUUCAUACAGCCAUGAAUGAAUGCUUCUCAACGAUUGUCAAGCUGCUCUUCCUUCAGUUCUCCCAACAAUUCAUCAUCUGUCUCAGGAUUUUGGCUUCCUUCUUCCCCCAGGUGCAAUUUUGAGGAUCCCAAAUAUCGGGAUCGCUUCCUUCCCUGUCGGGAAGCGUUGCAACAUCAGAAAGAGCCUAGCAGCGACAAUGAAAGUGAAUAUGAAAGACACAAGUUGCAUAAAUACACAGAUUAUAAUGUGCAGUACAUACACUGAAAUUUUUAAAUUAUGGAGUGUCAAAACGUAUGGAUCCCUGGAAGGAUACUAACCAUACCAAGUAUCAGUUAAGAGCAAUCUUUCGGAAAAAGGAAUCAGGGCGCUUUUGUUUAGGGGUCGGGGGGUGGGGAGUCAAUCUUCUAUGGUUUGCUAAUAUCUGUAUGAUUUGAAGGGCUCUAAAAUUGGUUAUUUGAUAUCAGUGAUUUGGUGGAUGAUCAUGUUUUAACACUUCUAGAACAUAUGAUUGUAUAAACUCAUUACAGUAAAAUACAGUCCUGUUUCCAUUUAUGUUGCGACCUAAAUAUGCACUACAAAAAGGCUGAAGCUGGCAAAUUUAGCAACGCAUGAGUUAGGAAGCCUAAGGACCCUGAAACAGUCAGCAAACAAAAUUUUAAGGGGAAAAAAUAACUAUAUUUACAAGGAGAACAAAAAUGAACUGCAAGGAGAGUAACAACAAAGUCAACAUAAGCAACAACUUUCAGUUUGGUUGUUGUACUUGCUAAGCAUACCUUAACCAUGUGUUCAGAAUGAGAUCUAAACUAACACAAGGGCUAGUUAUGAGAAUUAUAAAAAAAA
Molecule: non-coding RNA, 1516 nt
Organism: Phoenix dactylifera (date palm)
Lineage: Eukaryota; Viridiplantae; Streptophyta; Magnoliopsida; Arecales; Arecaceae
Source: RefSeq, a predicted model, not a curated record